RNAcentral lists this long non-coding RNA (5697 nucleotides) under Homo sapiens (human). RNAcentral describes it as "HSALNT0314859". Lineage: Eukaryota; Metazoa; Chordata; Mammalia; Primates; Hominidae. The record is from RNAcentral.
CUGGUACGUACAUUUAAAUAUUUUAUUUUAAUUUUUAUGGGUACAUAGUAGGUGUAUGUAUUUGUGGGGUACAUUAAAUGUUUUGAUACAGGCACUCAAUGCAUAAUCAUGACAUCAUGUAAAAUCCCCUCAAGUAUUUAUCCUUUGUGUUACGAACAAUUCCAUUAUACUCUUUUAGUUAUCCCAUUAUACUCUUAACUUUAAAUUUACAAUUAUUAGUGACUGUAGUCACCCUGUUAUGCUAUCAAAUACUAGGUCUUAUUCAUUCUUUCUAUUUCUUUUGUAGCCAUUAACAAUUAAAUCUUAAUCUGGUUUAAAAAUUAAUGAUGUCUGGAUUUGCUUUUUGAAAUAAAGAACAGAAGAUGAGUAGGUGAAUUAAAUGUGGCAUAAGAAUUAUUCUGGGUUAUGAGUAUAUGGAGGUUACUUGUAUUGUGUUCUUUUGUCUGUUUGAAAGUCUCCAUAAUAAAAAGAUUCACUCAUUAAGAGCAUUAAAAAAUCUGAUAUUAAAUAUCUUAGUAAAUUAAUUAUCAACAGUUAUAUUUUCCCAGAAAUUACAAAAAUUAGCAUUGUGGUAUCCUAAAACUAUGUCUUAGCCUUAAAUUUAAAAUUGACUGACUUGAGGAAAAGCAGUUAAGAAGAGGGAGAGUAAAUAAGAAAUUGGUAACUAAACAAAAAUGAAAAUGUUGAGGCACAAAAAUGAAUAUUUUUAGGGUCAAUAUCACAUUAUUUGUUUAGACAGAGCACAUAAAUAUCAUUCGUUUAGUUAUAUGUCCACUUAUGAAAAGGAUGGUAAUCGUGAAAUAUUGCAGAUAAGGUUUCAAGGCAGUGCAGUGAGACUUUUUUUUUUUUUUUUUGUCACGAACUUUACAUUUUUUUUUAAAAGUCUGGGCUUGUGCGGUGGCUCAUGCCUGUAAUCCCAGCACUUUGGGAGGCCAAGGCGGGCGGAUCACCUGAGCGCCAGCAGUUCAAGACCAGCCUGGCCAACAUGGUGAAACCCCGUCUCUACUAAAAAUACAAAAAAUUAGCCAGACGCAGUGGUGCUCACCUGUGGUCCCAGCUGCUCGGGAGGCUGAGGCGGGAGAAUUGCUUGAACCUGGGAGAUGGAGGUUGCGGUGAGCCAAGAUCACGCCACUGCACUCCAGGUGGGCAACAGAGCGAGACUUCGACUCAAAAAAAAAAAGUCUGAAGGUGUGUAUUUUGAGUGAGUCUUUUUUUGUACUUGUGUGUGUAACUAUAUGGAACACGAUCUAUGCUAAAUCAAACCUUUCCUUAAACACUCCACAGUUUUUAUAGGAGAAUCUACCAGUGACUGACAUAUUUCCUCCUGUUGUAUAUUGCCCAUCCAUUUUAUUUUCUAGGAUAAGAUGCAUUUUUUUUUCCAACAAAUUCAAGUAUGUUGUCUGGUAUUUCUUAAGUUGGAGGUGGGGGGUUUCUUAGAGACAUAGUUAGAUAUUUGAUUAACUGUGAUCCCAGCUAAGAAGCUCCUGAAUGACUCUUUUCUAUUUCUCACAUCAUUGGAGCUGCCUUCAUUGUGAAGUGUAUAGAGAACCCUUGGGGAAACUUUGAAGAGUUAGGAUGGUUAUCUGAGUGCAUAAAGUUAGUUUGCCAAUGGGCAUCUUUAAUAGUUAAGUUUCAGAUAUUUGUGGUGGGGAAUGGUGGGCAGUCUGUGAAGCUAAGUGAGUUUUGGUGCCUUCCAGCUUAUUUUCAUUUCUCAACAGUUGGCAUGGUUACUCUUCUAAAACCUCAUAGAAGACUAAAGACAUGUAGAGUAUGAGUCCUUUAAGGUGCUCCAUGGUUAGCGGAGGUUUUGAUUAACAUAUUAGCUGGAUUAUUCCUGUGAGGAGAAACUUCUCCAUGAUUUGGUGGUAUAUUUCCUAAAGUUAAAUUAGGACAAAUACUUGAUUCUUGCUCUUAUUUACUAGUUUUCAGACUCAUGAGCUGCUUCACUAAUAUCCUGAAACUGAUUUUGUUUUCUUUUUUAAAAAAAUGAACUCAGAUUUGAACAUUUUAGAUGUGCUUCAUUUCAUUGCAUUUAUGCAUUGUAUUAGUCUGUUUUCAUACUGCUAUAAAGAACUGCCUGAGACUGGGUAAUUUACAAAGGAAAGAGGCUUAAUUGACUCACAGUUCAGCAUGGCUGGGGAGGCCUCAGGAACUUAACAAUCUUGGUGGAAGACAAAGAGGGGAAGCAGGGCACCUUCUUCACAUGGUGGCAGGAAGGAGAAGUGCCCAGUGAAGGGAGGAAGAGCCCCUUAUAAAACCAUCAGAUCUCCUGAGAACUGAUUAUCACAAGAACAGCUGGGGAAACUGCUCCCAUGAUUCAGUUAUCUCCACCUGGUCUGUCCCUUGGCACAUGGGGAUUAUGGGGAUUACAAUUCAAGAUGAGAUUUGGAUGGGGACACAAAGCCUAAUUAUAUCAUGCAUGUUUAGAUUUUCUUGUCUUUGGCCAGUGGGAACCUCUUCAGGUUUGCCCCGAGUCUUGAUUUUGAUAGUUUCUCUGCUUCCUGGCAUAACAAGGUGAUCAAAACUCCUCUUGUGCAAUUCAUGGCACAAACUUGAAAUUAGCCAUUUGUCCAAGAAGCUCUGAUUCCUUUGAAAAGGAAAUUGUUUUUCAAUCCUGUAAUCUGUAUUCAUUGCUGCUGGGGUUCUUUGUUUCCAGGCCUCUUCAGUGGAUAGUGCUAGGAAAUACACACACACAUAGUGCUAGGAAAUACACAUUUAAGAUUAAAACAUGAGUUCAUAGUGUUAAGUCCAGUUGAAAUUCAUUUUAGGGCUACAGGAUUUAUAUUUAUAUUUAUAUUUAUUUGAGACGGAGUCUCGCUCUGUUGCCCAGGUUGGAGUGCAAUGGUGCGAUCUCAGCACACUGCAUCCUCCACCUCCUGGGUUCAAACAGUUCUCCUGCCGUAGCCUUCCGAGUAGCUGGGAUUACAGGCGCCCACCACCAUGCCCAGCUAAUAUGUUGUAUUUUUAGUAGAGACGGGGUUUCACCAUGUUCACCAGGCUAGUCUUGAACUCCAGGUCUACAGGAUUUUUAAUGUAACCUUUUCUCUCUUAACAACUUUCCUCCUCCUCCCUACUGAAAAAAAAAAAAAAAAUCCAAGUCCUCAAGGCAUUAACAUUGACUUUUUAUCCCACGGUAUGCACUAACACUUUUGUAAUUAUUAUCAACACUGCCGCCAACAGUGUGGUUACUGAAAAUAAGAAAAAUGAGGAUUGCAAGGAUUGAGCCAAUUUUCUGUGUUAUAGUCAUUCGAAAUAGUUACUCUUUGGAUUGUUAUACCACCAAUUUGAUAUAAAAUUAUGGUUACUUUAUUUUGGUUUUCAGAGAUUUCAUGUAACAUUUUGGUUUUGUUACACUAUUAUAUAAAAUAUUUACAUGGUUUGAAAGUAAAAUCUAUAAGACAGAUUAAACUCAGAGCAGUGUUUUCCUAUUUCACUUUGUUCUGUCUCUCCCUCCUAAUUGGUAGCCCUUUUAUUUUGUUUUUGAGACAGGUGCAGGCUCUGUUGCCCAGGCUGGACCGCAGUGGCGCAAUCUCGGCUCACUGCAACCUCUGGCCCAGGCUCAAGCCAUCGUCUCAUCUUAGCCUCUUGAGUAGCUGGGACUAAGGUGCGUGCCAGCGUCCAUGGCUAAUUUUUUUUAUUUUUUGUAGAGAUGGGGUUUUGCCAUAUUGCCCAGGCUGGUUUCUAACUCCUGAGAUAAGUGAUCUGCCUACGCUGGCCUCUCAAACUGCUGGGAUUACAGGUGUGAGCCACCACACCUGGCCUGGUAGCCCUCUUUUUUUUUUUUUUUUAAAAACCUUAUGGUUUAUCUUUUCAAAUGCAUAUAUAGGGCCAGGUGUUGUGGCUCAUGCCUGUAAUCCCAGCACUUUGGGAGGCUGAGGUGUGUGGAUCACGAGGUCAGGAGUUCGAGACCAGCCUGACCAACAUGGUGAGACCCCGUCUCUACUAAAAAUAAAAAAUUAACCAGGCGUGGUGGCGGGCACCUGUAAAUCCCAGCUACUCGGGAGACUGAGGCAGGAGAAUUGCUUGAACCCAGGAGGCAGAGGUUGUAGUGAGCCGAGAUCACGCCACUGUGCUCUAGCCUGGGCGACAGAGAAAGACUCCGUCUUGAGAAAAAAAAAAUGCAUAUAUAUGUAUUUUUUUCCCUUCCUAUCCCUUGUGUCCUUCCUUAGAUGAAGCUAAGGACACUCUUUAAGGGAUCCUUGCAUUGGCAUUAGGUAGAAGGUUGGAUUCUGUAACUAUUGGUGCCUUGUCUUAAAGUGUUAUUUUUAAAUUUUAGAGUUGUGUAACCAUCACCACUAUCUGAUUUUAGAACACUUUCAUCCCCCUAAAAGGUUCCAUUGUGCCCAUUUACUGUUAAUGACUGCUCCACUCUCAGCCCUAGGCAACCACUGUUUUUCUGCUUUCCUAUCAUUUCUGGGCAUUUUAUAUAAAUGGAAUUAUGCAAUAAUGUACUCUUGUAUCUGCUUCUUUCACUUAGCAAAUGUUUUGGAAGUUCAUCCAUGUUGUGGCAUGUACCAAUACUUUAUUCCUUUAAAUUGCUGAACUCCAUUGCAUGAAUAUACAUUUUGUUUAUCUACUCACCAAUUAAUGGACAUUUGGAUUGUGUCUAAUUUUUGGCCAUUAGGAAUCAUGCUGCUGUGCACAUUCACAUACGUUUUUCUGUGUGGAUAUGUUUUUAUUUCUCUUUAGGUAGGUUCCUAGGAGUAGAAUUUUGCUGGUUUCUAUGGUAAAUUUGUGUCUUAACUUUUUAAGAAACUACCAAACUGUAUUUCAGUGUGAUUGUUGUACCUGUUUUACAUUUUACGAGCAGUAUAUAAGGGUUCCAGUUUCUUCACAUCUUUGCCAACUUUUGGCAUUGUUGUUUUGAAUUUAGCCAUUCUAAUGGGUGGGCAGUAGUGUGCCACAGUUUUACUUUGACUAAUAAUAUUGAGCAUAUUUUCAUGUGCUUAUGGUCAUUCAUUUUACUUUAUUUUUUGAGAUGGAACCUUUGCUCUGUCGUCAGGCUGGAGUGCAGUGGCGCUCUCUUGGCUCACUGCAACCUCCGCCUCCCGGGUUCAAGUGAUUCCCCUGCCUCAGCCUCCCGAGUAGCUGGGAUUACAGGCAUGCACCACCAUGCCUGGCUAAUUUUUUGUAUUUUAGUAGAGAUGGGGUUUCACCGUGUCGGCCAGGAUCGUCUCGAUCUCCUGACCUCGUGAUCUGCCCAUCUUGUCCUCCUAAAGUGCUGGGAUUACUGGUGUGAGCCACUGUGCCCGGCUGGUCAUUCAUAUAUUUUCUUUGGUGAAAUGUUUAUUCAGAUUUUUGCUUUUAAAAUUAUAUUGUCAUUUUACCGAUUUGAAUUUUUUUUUUUUUAAUUGAGAUGGAGGCUUGCUGUGUCUCCCAGGCUGGAGUGCAAUGGCAUGGUCUCGGCUCGCUGCACCUCCGCCUCCUGAGUUCAAGCGAUUCUCCUGCCUCAGCCUCCUGAGUAGCUGGGACUACAGGUGCAUGCCACCACAGCCAGCUAAUUUUUGUAUUUUUAGUGGAGAUGGGGUUUUACUGUGUUGGCCAGGCUGGUCUCGAACUCCUGAACUGCCCGCCUCGGCCUUCCGAAGUGCUGGGAGUGAGCCCCCACGCCUGGCUUGCAUUGUUUUUUUUUUUUUAAUUGUGAUUUGCAAAUAUUUUCUCUCAGUCUGUGGUUUAUUUUUGAUCUCCCUCCCUCCC